Long non-coding RNA from Magnolia sinica, 3126 nucleotides. RefSeq lists it as uncharacterized. The record is from RefSeq and is a predicted model, not a curated record. Lineage: Eukaryota; Viridiplantae; Streptophyta; Magnoliopsida; Magnoliales; Magnoliaceae. The transcript has 4 exons.
UCCAUGUACCAAGAACACUAGGAUAGGCAGAAGAAUUUUGAUAACAAGGAGUCUUUAGGUGAAAAUCAAAUUGUUUGUCAUGGAGUGGGGUUGCACUUCUGGAGAAUUCAAAGGUGUUCUGGUGGCAGAUCUCAAUAGAUGUUGGGAUGAGGUCUUGGACUGUAGUAAGCCACCGAAAAAAGGGUGCUUGAUGGGGAAUGCGGGUCAAUCCGGGGAUUGGGGGAGUCAUUGCAUAUACUAAUGGCAUGAUUAAGAAUGCUUUUUUUUUUUUUUUCUCUAGAUCCUCUGGAGUGGGCGAUUCCAACAGACCUGAAUUACAAGCAAUUAAGACUGGUUUUUCCUUGCCCAAAUCUUAAUUGAACCCAUGGGAACAGCUAAGAGUGACUCCAAGUGCACUCUUCUUUGGGUGGUGGGAGAAUCUCCUAUUCCUUGGAGAAACCUUUUCGUGUAAAUAAGAGCAAGGGGCUGAUGUCAAAAUUUUCUGUUUCUCUUAGCUUAGUGCCCUGUGAGGCCAACUCAUGGGCCGAUGUAUUGGUCAAGGUGGUGUGUUGAGGCAAUAUUUGUAUAUUUGUGACGCUUAUCCAUUAUCUUAAUGGAUGGUGCCCUUGCCUUCUUCUUUUAUUAAAAAACGAAUAAAAGCAUGUAAUUGCUUUCCACAAGGCUUCCUAUAACGGUUGCUCGUUCGAUAUGGAAAAAGGUCUAUGGGUAUGCAAAAGAAAGCUCAUUUUCUCCCUUGAGAUUAUGUUUAUCUUCCUGCAUUCUACUGUUCCAAAUAUCGGCAAUAUUAUUGCCAAUCUUAUUGGUAUCUCCAGGGCAACGAUGCUGAAGCUGCUGAAAAUAUAAAAAUUUCCAAAUAUCGGAUAUUUUCAAUAAUAUCGGUGAUACUUGGUAAUAUUAUUGAUAUCAAUGAUACUGUGAGAAGAAUUCCUUAUAAAAUUUCCCUAGUAUCAGUGAUACCAUCGAUAAUAUACCAAAUACCAGGGAAAUAUCUAUAAAUAGGCAAAUAUUAACAUAAAUUCAGAAAAAUUUCAAAAACCCAAAAAUCUCCAAUUUUUUUUGGAAUAUUCUUUAGAAUUUUGUUCUGUAGGUGAUUUCGAUUGCACUCUUGGUUUUUAUUUUAUAAAAGUUUAUAUUUUGGGAGAAAUCUUGACUCGAAACGAAGAUGGGACGGAACUCAAAGGUGACAAAAAAAUGUAGAAACUUUUUUUUUUUUUCAAAUUCUAGCAUGGUUUGCAAUGGAAAUCCAUGUCUAUGCUUGAUUAUCAUGCAUUAACAUGAAUUUGUGGCAAAAAAAUUAACAUUGAAAUGAAAAUGGGAAAAAUUCUAUUUUUUCUCGUUUUUAUAUUGGAAACUGCGUUAUUCACCGUUACUUAAUGUGGAAUUAUAUAUUAAGAGUGUUGGGAUUGGUCACAAAUUUUAUGUAUUUAUUUUAUACUGAUUUUUUCGACAACACAUGGUUAAGCCUCUAUAAAAUAGAACUUAUUAUGUACAGAUUUUUUUUUUUUUUGUUUUUUUUUUGUUUUUUUUGUUUUUUUUUUUGUUUUUAAAACAAUAUUUUGAUUCCUACAUGUGUAAACAUGGGUCUUUUAAUCUCUUGAAGUUUCACUGAAAAAUUCUAAAGAAAGGUUGAUGCUACGGAGGAUGCCCUUACUCGCUGUUUGGUGGGCUGUUUGGGAGUAACGAAAUGCAAGAUGCUUCUGGAAUGAAAGCAAGUCAGCAGGUUCUACGUCCCAAAGGGUGAGGCUUUUAAUCAUUGAGUGAGCUUCCAUCUCUGAGAAGCUCAAGGGCUGUAAUCUUUCUUUUGUGGGGAUGUAAUUUAGUCGCCUUCUUGGUGGUUUUGGGCUGUUUUUUCUUUUCUUGGUUAAAAAAAAAUUCAGUUAUCUUUCAAAAAAAAAAACAAACUGUCAGCUCCCUCUUUCUUUGGAAUCAAUGCGAUAAAAGAAGUGCCAAAUUCUGCCACCAGCUUGCCUUUCUCUAAAAACUCCCAAAUGAAUGCCACCACAUAAAUGUGGUAGCAGUGAUACCAAUGUUUCCCUCAGGCAGCCAUAUUUUUCUGAGUAUCAGCGAUAAUAUUGGUGAUACCAAUACAUGUUUCUAUAUCCCCGACACACAUGCAAACGCAUAUAUAUUAUGUAUAGUACUACAUAACACACACGCACAAUGCACGUAUGAUAUAUCAUGAUUUCUUGUUCAAAAAUUACCCUGAAUUUUUAGUAUUUCAGUCAGCCCAGGUCUCCAUGUAUUUUUUUUCCCCCCAAAAGGCCCCUUGAGCCAAAGCCUGUCAAGCAUAGCUUCUCUUUCUUUUCCUUUUCCUUUCCUUUUAAGUAGACACUAAAAGCUUAGUAGCAAGCUGCAUUUAUACUGACGCGCAGACAUUCAUUUAGCAAAAUCAUUUUCAUUUCAAUCCUUCCAAUCGUUUUUCGAGCUUCUUCUCAACUGAUUCCUACUGUUGGAGCUCUAACUAUACUUUAGUCUUGGGGAAGAUUCAUUAAGUGCUCUCUCUAAUGCAAGAGCAGACCUGAUUGCUUCCUCGUUCUGACUUUUAACUUGUUCUAUACUCUCUAUUGCUUGCUUCUUUUACAAGCCAAACAAAUACACACAAAAAGAAAACAAGGAGAAGGAUAAUAGUAGUUUCUUCAUACCAGACAAUGAUUGCUGAGCUCGUUCUCCUUGAAAAAUCAGGUAGCAACUAGUCAAAAGGCAUUGGAUAGUGCUGGCGGAGAUGCAGAAGUGGCUAUGUUGCUUAGAUAUGAUGUGGAUAUUGAAACUGAUAAAGUAGUCAGAUUUUCAGUGUGCCUUUGGAUUCUGAAUUGACAUUCUUCUUGGAGGACUUUGGCGCCGCCAUCAUUCAUUAAAAAUGUCUUCUCCAGUGAUUGAAUGCUUUGUGCCCCUCGGUGGAUUUCCUUCACUUCCGUUCUCGGCCUGAGUUUUGUCAAGUGUAUUUUCCAGUUGACUUGAUGAGUGAGUCCAGUUAAAGAGGUGAGUUUUGCAAUGACUAGGCUCAAAAUCUUGCCAAGUCGGUUGAUUCGGAUGAGUUUCAAGUGAGUUAGCUAGUUUUAGAACUAUGGUGCUAACCUGUUCUUACCCUAUUUGAAUAUGUAAGACUAUGGUCAUUGAAUUGCGGUC